This 206-nucleotide long non-coding RNA is filed under the name Nicotiana benthamiana. RNAcentral describes it as "long non-coding RNA (NBEN_LNC032788)". The record is from RNAcentral. Lineage: Eukaryota; Viridiplantae; Streptophyta; Magnoliopsida; Solanales; Solanaceae.
AUGCUUUAGGUAGGGGGCCUCUGAACCCAACAAGGCACUUGACAAACUGCCUUUAUUCAACAUUUGAAUGUGUCACUUAAUAUGUAAAUCGUGCGGAGGACAAUUAUAACUUCAUUAUUAUAUAUAUAUGAGGGACCAUGUAAAGAGUUUUGUAAUCCUUAGUCACAUUGUAAUUAUUUGUAAGUUGGCCAAUUCAAAGGGUUUGC